Non-coding RNA from Nicotiana tabacum (common tobacco), 812 nucleotides. NCBI's taxonomy places the organism in Eukaryota, Viridiplantae, Streptophyta, Magnoliopsida, Solanales, Solanaceae. The record is from RefSeq and is a predicted model, not a curated record.
UUCAAGGUAACAAUGACCCUACUAGUUCUCGGGGUCGAGAAAAGGGUAGGAAGGGAAAGAGGAGGGUAGAAAAUAAUAGUCCCUCUUGUCCACCCUUUUCAGAGAUGCCUAUGUCUUAUCCUCCACCACACGGAUAUACUGAGCUGCCGCAGAAUCACGAGCCGUACACCUUCAUUCAGACACCAGGUCUUCCAUCACAGGGCCAUAGGACUAUACGUCCGACAUACAGUCCAGCUGCCUCACAGCCAUCUGAAUCACAGCCAUCUAUAUCACAUCCACAUGGAUCACAUCCCUAUAUAUCAUAGCCACAUGGAUCGUAUCCAUCCAUGUCACAACCACUCAAGUCACAGCCAUCAGUAUCACAUCCACUUGGGUCGCAUCCAGCUAUGUCGCAUUCACAGGGAUUGCAACUAUCUUCAUCAUCGACUCCAUCUAUUGCAGGCCUUCGCCUGCGAGGCAGUAGCUCUGACCCGCCUACACCGUCUUCACAUGCCUCUGAUACACAUGCUUCGGAUAGUGAUGACGAGGUAGUGCAUUAUGAUCGAUAUGGCAGGAUCAUCAUAGUCCUUGAGGGUGAUGGGUUCAGGCCGGGUAAUAAGACUAUGAAGAUAAUCACCAAUGCCAUCAUAAAGCUUUUAUGAUGGCCCUUAUGCGACUUGGACUGAUUGCCCAUUCUCGCUGAAAGAGCAAAUUUUCAAUCAAUUUAAGAGCAAGUGUGUAUGGGAAGACCGCUAUAGCACGAAAGUGGCUGUAAAUUUUCAUCAUAAAGCUCGCAAGAGAUUGGCGGAUGCUUUUUCGGAUGCUAGUAAGAA